Molecule: ribosomal RNA, 378 nt
Filed under: uncultured bacterium
Lineage: Bacteria
Description: bacterial SSU rRNA
Rfam family: Bacterial small subunit ribosomal RNA
Source: RNAcentral
UCUAGGACAAUGGGGGGGGGGCAUGAUCCACCAAUGCCGCUAGACCGAUUAAGUCCGUAGGGUAGUAAAGCUCUUUUACCCAGGAGGAUAAUGACAGUACCUGGAGAAUAAGCUCCGGCUAACUCCGUGCCAGCAGCCGCGGUAAUACGGAGGGAGCGAGCGUUCUUCGGAAUUACUGGGCGUAAAGGGUACGCAGGCGGUUAUUCAAGUCAGAGGUGAAAUCCCCGGGCUCAACCCCGGAACUGCCUUUGAAACUAGAUAACUAGAGUCUUGUAGAGGUUGAUGGAAUUCCGAGUGUAGCGGUGAAAUUCGUAGAUAUUCGGAAGAACACCAAUGGCGAAGGCAACUACCGGACAAGUACUGACGCUGAGCACGGAG